Sturnus vulgaris (Common starling) is the source of this 3548-nucleotide non-coding RNA. The record is from RefSeq and is a predicted model, not a curated record. Lineage: Eukaryota; Metazoa; Chordata; Aves; Passeriformes; Sturnidae.
GAACCGGGAUCUGGAACCGGGAAUUGGGAUCGGGAAUUGGGAUCGAGAAGCGGGAUCGGCAUCGGGAAGCGGCAGCGGCAGCCGGGGAGCGGCCCCCGCGCGCAGCUCCAGCCAUGGGGGACAUGAAAACGCCGGAUUUCGACGACCUCCUGGCCGCCUUCGACAUCCCCGACAUCGACGCCAACGAGGCCAUCCAGCCGCACCACGAGGAGCCCGAGUCCCACGGGAAACAAAUCCCGGGGGACGCGGCCGCGGCCGAGCCCGCCCUGCCCCACGCCGACAUCUCGGCCGUCAGCGUCAUCGUCAAGAACACCGUGUGCCCCGAGCAGCUGGACAGCCUGGACCCCCGCGCCAAGGACGGCCACGGCCUGGCCCCCCGCCUCCUCCACAACGGCUUCGGGGCCCCCGACGCCGCCAGAUCGCCCGGGGCCCGCGCGGCCGAGGCGCCGUCCAACGGGGAGUGCUGGGCCAAGGAGAAGAACCCGAAAACUUUGGAUUUGUUCUCGCACUUCAGCCCCGACCCCAGCGAGGACGGCGCCAACCUGAUCGACAGGUCCCGGGAAUGCAAAGCCAAGGAGAAAUCCCUGGCCGUGCCUUCCCUGGCCGCGUCCCCCACCCCAUCCUCCAUGGACUGCAAGGAGCCCCUGGGAGAAGCCGCGGGGGGCUUGGAUCCCGCUUUUCCCGGCCCGUUCCGCGCCGCCGACGGAUCCCACCCCGUGCCCUGCAUCAAGAAGGAGGAGUCGGACGCGGAGGAGGCUCCGGGCAGGAGUUCCAGCCCCAAGGGCUUGGUCCUGGAUCACCUGAAAUCCGUCACCGUGCGUUAUUCCGCCGAGGAGUCUCCGCCGGCGGCGGCGCCGUGGCCGGGCUCGGAUCCCGGCAUCGACGCCGCGGCCGAGCUCAAACGCUCGCCGGGGAGCCCUCGGGAAUCCUUCUCCUCCCCCGGCAUCCCCAUCCCGUCCUCUUCUCCCAAACUCCUGAAGGAAGAGCGGGAAAUGCUGGAGAAAUCCGUGAGGAGCCCCCCGAGCGUUUCCAGCGGCGAGGAGGAGGAGGAGGAGGAAGAGGAGGAGGAGGAGGAGGAGGAAAGCACCAACUCGCCGUCCUCCAGCUCCUCGCGGCCGCUCAAAGUGCGCAUCAAAACCAUCAAGACCUCCUGUGGCAGCAUCACCAGGACGGUCACCAGGGUGAGCUCGGACUCGGAGCCGCCCUCCAGCAGAGCCCCCGGCGAGCAGAAUUCCCAGGAAACCCCGGAACGCCCCGGGACGGGCACGGAGGCGGCGCCCAAGGAGAAACCGGAGCUUUGCAGCCCUCUGAGAAACGCGGAAGGGCCGAAAAUCGUCAGCGUGCAGCUGGGCAACGGCACCAAGCUGAAGGGCACGGUGCUGCCCGUGGCCGCCAUCCAGAGCGCCAGCAGCGCCAUGCUCAUCGCCGCCAGCGUGGCCCAGCAGAAAUCCGUGGUUCUCCCGGCGAAAUCCGGCAAGUCCGUGGCUAAAAACAUCCUGAACUUGGUGCCGCAGCCCCUGCCCAAGGGCGACGGCAGGACCAACGGCGGCGCCAAGGUGAACGGCGGCGCGGCGCCGCCCAAAUCGUCGCCCAGCGUGGCCGGCACCGUCAUCUCCCGCAGCCAGUCCAGCCUGGUGGAGGCCUUCAACAAAAUCCUCAACAGCAAGAACCUGCUGCCCACCUACAAACCCAACCUGAGCCCCCCGGCCGAGUCCAGCCUGGCCCUGCCGCCGCUGGGCUACCGCUGCCUGGAGUGCGGCGACGCCUUCGCGCUGGAGAAGAGCCUGGCGCGGCACUACGACCGGCGCAGCAUGCGCAUCGAGGUGACGUGCAACCACUGCACCAAGCGCCUGGUGUUCUUCAACAAGUGCAGCCUGCUGCUGCACGCCCGCGAGCACAAGGACAAGGGGCUGGUGAUGCAGUGCUCGCACCUGGUGAUGCGCCCCAUCGCCCUGGAGCAGAUGAUCGGGCAGCCCGACGUGACCCCGCUGGCGUCGCUGGCGCUGCCGGCCCCGAAGGUGGCUCAGGACGGGGGGAAUCCGGCACAGGAGAUGCCGGUGCUGCCCCUGGGCCCGGAGCAGAGCAGCUACAGCUGCUUCAGGUGCCUGGAGUGCAAGGAGCAGUGCAAGGACAAGGCGGGGCUGGCGGCGCAUUUCCAGCAGGUGGGGGUGGCCACCAGCAGCAGCAGCACGGUGUGCUCGGCGUGCCCCAUGAUCCUGUCCAACCGCUGCAGCUUCAGCGCCCACCAGCGCAUGCACCGCAGCCGCCCCCCCCACGUGUGCCCCGAGUGCGGCGGCAACUUCCUGCUGGCCAACUUCGAGGGGCACCUCAAGGACUCCUGCCUGCACUUCUCCCGCAGGGUGGGAUACAGGUGUCCCAGCUGCUCCGUGGUGUUUGGCGGCGUCAAUUCCAUCAAGUCCCACAUCCAGAGCUCGCACUGCGAGGUUUUCCACAAGUGCCCCAUCUGCCCCAUGGCCUUCAAAUCCGCGCCCAGCGCCCACGCCCACGUCUACACGCAGCACCCCGGCUUCAGCAACCAGCAAUCCAAGAUGAUUUACAAGUGUGCCAUGUGUGACACGGUGUUCACCCACAAGCCGCUGCUCUCGUCCCACUUUGACCAGCACCUGCUGCCGCAGCGCGUCAGCGUCUUCCGCUGCCCCCAGUGCCCGCUGCUCUUCGCCCAGAAACGCACCAUGCUCGAGCACCUCAAGAAUUCCCACCAAGCCCAGAAAUCCAAGGACGACUCUUCCAAGAAAUCCCCGGCCCUGCUGACCCCCAAGCCGGAGCCCCUGGAGACUCCGGUGUCCAAGAAUUCCGAGGAGUCCUCGAGCUCCACGGAGGAGGAGGAGGAGGAGGAGGAGCCCCCGAGCUCCCCGGAAUUCCGGAAAUCCAAGCGGAGCCGAUUCCAGCGGAAAUCCGGGAGCAAAUCCAAGGGCAGCGGCUGGAGCUGCGGCGUUUGCCACUCGUGGUUCCCCGAGAGGGACGAGUACGUGGCACACAUGAAGAAGGAGCACGGCAAGUCGGUGAAGAAGUUCCCGUGCCACCUGUGCGAGCGCUCCUUCUGCUCGGCCCCGAGCCUGCGGCGCCACGUCCGCGUCAACCACGAGGGCAUCAAACGGGUCUAUCCCUGCAGGUAUCCCAAAAAAAAACCCCGGGAAUUCCGGGAAUUCUGGGAUCCCGGGAAUUCUGGAGAUGGCUUCAUCCAGGAGAACUGAGCAAUUCCUGGGAUUCUGGGAAUUCCCGGAAUUCUGGGAAUCCUGAAAUUCCUGGAAUUCUGGGAAUGGCUUCAUCCAGGAGAAUUGAGGAUUCUGGAAUUCCUGGAAUUCUGGCAUUUGCUUCAUUGAGGAGAACUGAGCAUUCCUGGGAAUCCUGGAAUUCCCAGAAUUCUGGGACUGGCUCCCAAAUGGGCCCUGAGGAGAACUGAGCAUUCCCAGGAAUGUCAGAAUUCCCGGAAUUCCGGGAUUUUCUCCCCCCAGGAAUUCGUGUACAUAAAACACGCCCAGAGCCUUUCCCGGGGGGAAAUUGGGAAUUUGGGAUGUCCUGGAAUU